Molecule: long non-coding RNA, 1057 nt
Organism: Lynx canadensis (Canada lynx)
Lineage: Eukaryota; Metazoa; Chordata; Mammalia; Carnivora; Felidae
Exons: 3
Source: RefSeq, a predicted model, not a curated record
UCCUGACGUCGGAGGGGGCGUAGAGUUCUCUCCCGCGCUGGUCGCCGCCGCCUGGACGCCCGCCCGGCUGGGCCCGAGCGUCCGGGUGUGGGGGGGGCGGGGGGCGUUGACCGCUAGGGGCUCAGCGGAAGUCGGGGCAGAGACCUGGAAGGAGGGGCGGCUGGUGGAGGCCCCUCCGGCCCGCCGGGGCCAAUUGGGAUUUGCUCUUGCCGCUCGGUUAAGCGUGGAUUUAAGAGUGGAGCUCAGGCACUCUGUGCUCUCGGGGGAAGGCGGCGGCCAAGAGUGCAUCGCGCUGCGGGUGCUCAGAUCUGAAGGGCUGGAGCUCGGUGGUCGGGGUUCCAGUGCGACUCUUGCGGGAGUCCUCAACCAAGCCCGGGCCCCCGGUGCUGAACCAGAGGUCUUCGUUUCUGUGGGCCCCACGUUGGAAACUUGAAGUCGUGAGGGGCUCUCUCUUCCAGGCAGAAGGUGUGUGUGAAUGCGAGCGUGUACCGAGGUGCAGUGAGUUUAUAACAUUCAAAUUCUAUUCCAUCAUAUUCUACGGACUGGCCAAAAUUUAAAAAUAUUACACCUGUGUUGCUCCUGCCAAGUAUGGAUACACACUCCCCAAACUAUUCUCAGUUUUAAUGAACAGAAGAAUUACCUGGAGCUGCUGAUUUAAAAAGACGAAGAUGAAGAUGAGGGUGAAGAUGAAGACAAAGAAGAAGAUGGAGAAGAAGGAGAAACGAGAAAGAAAGAAAUAACAAAAGAAGAUGGAGAUUUUUAUAAUCCCUGUCCCUUGAAAUUUUGAUUUGUAAGUUUGUGGUUGGACCCAAGAACCAUCAUUUUACAUAAGCACCAUAGGUGUUGUUAACCCCACUGAUUGUUGAUUCCUAUCAUUUUCUUUCUUAGAACAUAGUCAAAAUUCCAAUCAGAAUUCUCUGGAGACAUCCAGCGUAGUCCAACUUUGGUAGGUCCUACUCCUAACUUUAUGGUCUUAGGCAUUUUCCCAUAAGAGUUCAGACGUAGGGGCGCUUGGGUGGCUCAGUCGGUUGAGCAUCUGACUUCGGCUCAGGUCAUG